Molecule: non-coding RNA, 466 nt
Organism: Pocillopora verrucosa
Lineage: Eukaryota; Metazoa; Cnidaria; Anthozoa; Scleractinia; Pocilloporidae
Source: RefSeq, a predicted model, not a curated record
AGUUUUUCAGAUACACUUGAGAAGGUACAUGGUCUAAUAGGAAGAGGAUUUCCAAGUGAUUUUUGGCAGGAAAUGGCAAUUUUUCAGCCAUUAAGAUUUUUUCAGAUCUUACAUGAAAAUGCUAAUUACUGUUCCAAAAGGCUGGACAUGUGUAAAUGGCUUUGUACAAGCUCCUUGAAGAGAUUCAGAGAGAGAAAACGGAACGGAUUCGAAAGGCAGAAGAAAAUUUCCACUUUGGAAGCGAGAUAAACUUCACUUCAGAAUGCUAGAGAUAGUAACAAAGAGACAAAAAGGCUUGAGAAGUUAUCAGCGUGGAAAAGGAUAAAUUUGAAGAAUAUUUUAUUUCUUCACUCUCGUGUAAGACUUGACGUCUUAUUUAAUAUACCUUAUGAUACUGUCACCAAGCCUCUGAAACUUGCACUGACUUUGAUACUUUAUUUAUUUAGUAGUAUCUUAAUAUUUGAAA